This 255-nucleotide ribosomal RNA is filed under the name uncultured bacterium. RNAcentral describes it as "partial 16S ribosomal RNA". It matches the Rfam family "Bacterial small subunit ribosomal RNA", at positions 524 to 777 of the family's 1533-position model. The record is from RNAcentral.
UACGAAGGGUGCAAGCGUUGCUCGGAAUUAUUGGGUUUAAAGGGUGCGUAGGUGGACAAUUAAGUCAGUGGUGAAAUCUCCGGGCUUAACCCGGAAACUGCCAUUGAUACUACUUGUCUUGAAUACUUUGGAGGUAAGCGGAAUAUGUCAUGUAGCGGUGAAAAUGCUUAGAUAUGACAUAGAACACCAAUUGCGAAGGCAGCUUACUACACAGUAAUUGACACUGAGGCACGAAAGCGUGGGGAUCAAACAGGA